CAGCAAUGCCGCGUGAGUGAGGAAGGCCUUCGGGUUGUAAAGCUCUGUCAGAUAGGAAGAAUUGCCAAGGGUCCAAUAGGCCCUUGGAGUGACGGUACUAUCAAAGGAAGCACCGGCUAACUUCGUGCCAGCAGCCGCGGUAAUACGAAGGGUGCAAGCGUUGUUCGGAUUUAUUGGGCGUAAAGCGCGCGCAGGCGGGCAGCUAAGUCAGAUGUGAAAUCUCGGGGCUCAACCCCGAAACUGCGUCUGAAACUGGUUGCCUAGAGUUUCAGANGGGANAGCGGAAUUUCGCAUGUAGGGGUAAAAUCCGUAGAGAUGCGAAGGAACACCAGAGCCGAAGGGGGCUCUCUGGCUGACAACUGACGCUGAGGCGCGAAAGCGUGGGGAGCAAACAGGAUUAGAUACCCUGGUAGUCCACGCCGUAAACGAUGUGCACUAGUUAUGGGAGGUAUUGACCCCUUCCGUGACGUAGCUAACGCGUUAAGUGCACCGCCUGGGGAGUACGGUCGCAAGACUAAAACUC
Molecule: ribosomal RNA, 523 nt
Filed under: uncultured bacterium
Lineage: Bacteria
Description: bacterial SSU rRNA
Rfam family: Bacterial small subunit ribosomal RNA
Source: RNAcentral